This 468-nucleotide ribosomal RNA is filed under the name uncultured bacterium. RNAcentral's name for it is "partial 16S ribosomal RNA". It matches the Rfam family "Bacterial small subunit ribosomal RNA", at positions 28 to 507 of the family's 1533-position model. The record is from RNAcentral.
GACGAACGCUGGCGGCGUGCUUAACACAUGCAAGUCGAACGGAAAGGCCCUGCUUUUGUGGGGUGCUCGAGUGGCGAACGGGUGAGUAACACGUGAGUAACCUGCCCUUGACUUUGGGAUAACUUAAGGAAACUGGGGCUAAUACCGGAUAGGAGCUCCUGCUGCAUGGUGGGGGUUGGAAAGUUUCGGCGGUUGGGGAUGGACUCGCGGCUUAUCAGCUUGUUGGUGGGGUAGUGGCUUACCAAGGCUUUGACGGGUAGCCGGCCUGAGAGGGUGACCGGCCACAUUGGGACUGAGGUACGGCCCAGACUCCUACGUGAGGCAGCAGUGGGGAAUAUUGCACAAUGGGCGGAAGCCUGAUGCAGCAACGCCGCGUGCGGGAUGACGGCCUUCGGGUUGUAAACCGCUUUCGCCUGUGACGAAGCGUGAGUGACGGUAAUGGGUAAAGAAGCACCGGCUAACUACGUG